GUAAACUAUUGAAGCAUUCAUUGCAACUGGGUAAUCAGAAUUCGUGAGCUGAUAACAAGAACAGAACCAGACGAUCUUGGAGAUGGAAAAGGGAAAUAUGACGGACGUGAAUAAAAGGCGUCUGAAUGCACCCAACGGUCAGCGUGUGUUCAACGUUGUCAUUGCUGCCCUUGUUACGAUGACUGUUGUUAAUCAGGGAUAUAUGUUUUUUGAGAUGAAAGCGAAGAUUAAGUAUUACGACGCCACACUACAAGGCAUUCAGGCCCCUCAGCAUCUCAAGAAGCGGCAAGUAGAAGAAAGUGGUUCAGGUCCCUGUCCGAUUCAAUGU
Anneissia japonica is the source of this 328-nucleotide long non-coding RNA. RefSeq lists it as uncharacterized. NCBI's taxonomy places the organism in Eukaryota, Metazoa, Echinodermata, Crinoidea, Comatulida, Comatulidae. The transcript is spliced from 3 exons. The record is from RefSeq and is a predicted model, not a curated record.